GACGAACGCUGGCGGCGUGCUUAACACAUGCAAGUCGAACGGAAAGGCCCUGCUUUUGUGGGGUGCUCGAGUGGCGAACGGGUGAGUAACACGUGAGUAACCUGCCCUUGACUUUGGGAUGACUUCAGGAAACUGGGGCUAAUACCGGAUAGGAGCUCCUGCUGCAUUGUGGGGGUUGGAUAGUUUCGGCGGUUGGGGAUGGACUCGCGGCUUAUCAGCUUGUUGGUGGGGUAGUGGCUGACCAAGGCUUUGACGGGUAGCCGGCAUGAGAGGGUGACCGGGCACAUGGGGACUGCGAUACGGACCAGACGCCUACGGGAGGCAGCAGUGGGGAAUAUUGCACAAUGGGCGGAAGCCUGAUGCAGAAACGCCGCGUGCGGGAUGACGGCCUUCGGGUUGUAAAAAGCAUUAGCCUGUGACGAAGCGUGAGUGACGGUAAUGGGUAAAGAAGCACCGGCUAACUACGUG
This 468-nucleotide ribosomal RNA is filed under the name uncultured bacterium. Its description in RNAcentral is "partial 16S ribosomal RNA". It matches the Rfam family "Bacterial small subunit ribosomal RNA", at positions 28 to 507 of the family's 1533-position model. The record is from RNAcentral.